GAUGAACGCUGGCGGCGUGCCUAAUACAUGCAAGUCGAGCGAACAGACGAGGAGCUUGCUCCUCUGACGUUAGCGGCGGACGGGUGAGUAACACGUGGAUAACCUACCUAUAAGACUGGGAUAACUUCGGGAAACCGGAGCUAAUACCGGAUAACAUGUUGAACCGCAUGGUUCAACAGUGAAAGACGGUCUUGCUGUCACUUAUAGAUGGAUCCGCGCCGCAUUAGCUAGUUGGUAAGGUAACGGCUUACCAAGGCAACGAUGCGUAGCCGAACUGAGAGGGUGAUCGGCCACACUGGAACUGAGACACGGUCCAGACUCCUACGGGAGGCAGCAGUAGGGAAUCUUCCGCAAUGGGCGAAAGCCUGACGGAGCAACGCCGCGUGAGUGAAGAAGGUCUUCGGAUCGUAAAACUCUGUUAUUAGGGAAGAACAAAUGUGUAAGUAACUAUGCACGUCUUGACGGUACCUAAUCAGAAAGCCACGGCUAACUACGUG
RNAcentral lists this ribosomal RNA (497 nucleotides) under uncultured bacterium. Its description in RNAcentral is "partial 16S ribosomal RNA". It matches the Rfam family "Bacterial small subunit ribosomal RNA", at positions 28 to 507 of the family's 1533-position model. The record is from RNAcentral.